RNAcentral lists this long non-coding RNA (2095 nucleotides) under Equus caballus (horse). RNAcentral's name for it is "lncRNA (ENSECAG00000046669.1)". Lineage: Eukaryota; Metazoa; Chordata; Mammalia; Perissodactyla; Equidae. The record is from RNAcentral.
GUGAGCUUCCUCGAGACACGCAGUGCUGGCGUUGUUGGCCGUGAGUUCAGUGCUAAUGAAACAACAGUGUAUAUCAGACAAGGGGCCUUUAGACGGAGAUACACGUAAAACAAGAUCUCAGCUGAAAUGCCAGCUCCUGAUAGAAAGCAUUCCCACUCAAUGCCUUCCUUCAAAAGGAGUAUAUUGAGAAGGAAGCUGUGAACCUUUUACAAUGGAAGUAGGGAUUAUGGGAAAGCACAGGAGGAUAAGAAAGGUACUCUGUACAAAACUUUCAAUUUCCCAGGAGUGCAGAUCCCAAGAUUUUGUGCACAGUGUUAGAAAUAUUACCCUCUGAAUUUGAAGCAAUGGAAGUUAACAUCAAAUGGGAGAGUUAACAUCACCUGGAAGAAAUUAGCCAUCUGAAGCGUCUAGAUACCCCUGGAUGAACAAAUUAAAUUGACUUUCCAGUAUGACAAGAGUCGAGGACCUGAUCCAGACUUGUCUGCGCCAGUGGGUCCACACUCGGUGAACAGCCUAUCAGAUUGCUUCUCAUCAGUUUAAACUACAAUUGUCAUGGAAUGAUAAUCAUUAUGAGUAAACUGUCUUUUCAUUUCCCAGGUAGCUCAGAAUUAUGAUCAAAUAAUGUUCUCUUUUUGGCAGACUACUUCACUAGAUGAUACAUAGGAAUUUCUUGCUAGAUGUACAUUUCUAGGUGCAUGAUUAAUCUUUCCUUGAUGUUUUUAAUAUCAUUAUUGCUGAUGUGAAAUCUGUAUGGUUUUAUUUAUUUUGAGGCAUUCUCGGUAAUGUUAUCACUGAGAGGAAUAGAUUUAAUAAACUGUUCAUUAUCUCAUGACAUGUGAGAUGGAGUGAAAACAUAGGUAAAAUUGGAUCACAUUUAAGGCUACCUCUGAAAGCAAUACUAAGAUUAUAUUCCUGUGGAAAAAUGGAAGGUGUUUGCAAAUAUCUUGUUUUUCUAUAAAUAGCACUGCAGUUUGCUGGAAAGAUCUCAAAAGCACAAAAUAGAUUAGUUCACUGUUGAAGAAUUUAACUAAAUUUAACUAAAACGACACAUAAAUAUCUGGGAAGGAAAUGUGAAUUUGGUUCAAGGAGAAUGAAGACAGACAAAAGAAUCCUGCAAAGGAUAGCUCCGAUAAUAACAACAGUGCAAAUAAAUGAAAGGAAAUAAGCAGAGUCAGGUCGAAAAGGUUUAGGAAUUUAAGUGAGUUGUUUCCAAAAAGAAUGCUAUGUAAGUGAGCAAGCAAAGGUUCCAGCUGUCCUCGUAGAUUCCAGUUUGUCCUAGUCAGUUUCCGUUGACAUUAUGAGUCUGCUCUUCCCCCAACAUCCUCCCUGGUCGCUUAUCUGGCUGAUCUGCAAUGACUUCCGGCUGAAUUCUAGACCCAGAGCCAACAGCGCCACAAAUUACUCCAUCAGCUCCCACAAUUGCGUAAAGCCAAACUCCUAUAAUAAUUCCUUCAUUCCACAUCGCAUAGCAGUUCUGCUUAUUUCAUGGCGUCCUUACGGAUACUGCCAAAACGGAAACAAAAUUCUAGAGAAUAUUCAUUGAAACGGAAUUGAUGAGUGAAAGUUUAGUUUGUAUUUUGACAGACACAGCCAAAAUAUCUUCCCUGCAUGCUGCACCAAAACGCAAACACAAACACAAAGCCUUUUGUGAGGACAGUUUUGGAAAAAAUGGUAGAACCUCAUUCAGUGCAGGUAUUGUGUGCUGAUAAGAAGGAUAAAUAAUUCUUGCUAGUUAGUUUUCUAGAAUUCCCUAAUUCCUGUCAAUCAUUUUUUAAAACUUUUUCUAACCUGUGGAAUAUGGAAAUUAGAAACAUAAUAAAAAUAUUUUAUUUUCUUCAUUUAGGGUCUCUUGGCUUUUUAUUUUCCUUAGGAAGUUCUUCCCUAUUCCAAAAGUAUAAAACAGUCUCAGCAUCCUGAGUAAUGUUUGAAUCUGUGAUUCAGGUCAUUUGUUUGCUGAUUACCUUCCAGUUGUGCUUAAAAUAGCAACAACCCUCUUUGCCAUGCCACAGAAAGGUCUGCAUGCUUUCAAUGCUGUCUUAUCCAUUUUAUUUCAGGCCUUCCUCAGUCAUACACUGACAUUCUCUUGGUUCCUUUG